UACGGAGGGUGCGAGCGUUGUCCGGAUUUAUUGGGUUUAAAGGGUGCGUAGGCGGGUCUUUAAGUCAGUGGUGAAAGCCCAUCGCUCAACGAUGGAAUUGCCAUUGAUACUGGAGACCUUGAAUUCAGUUGAGGUAGGCGGAAUUUAUGGUGUAGCGGUGAAAUGCAUAGAUACCAUAAAGAACACCGAUUGCGAAGGCAGCUUACUGGGCUUGAAUUGACGCUGAGGCACGAAAGCGUGGGGAUCGAACAGG
Molecule: ribosomal RNA, 253 nt
Filed under: uncultured bacterium
Lineage: Bacteria
Description: partial 16S ribosomal RNA
Rfam family: Bacterial small subunit ribosomal RNA
Source: RNAcentral